RNAcentral lists this transfer RNA (62 nucleotides) under Cassidinae sp. ACP-2018. RNAcentral describes it as "tRNA-Leu". Lineage: Eukaryota; Metazoa; Arthropoda; Insecta; Coleoptera; Chrysomelidae. The record is from RNAcentral.
UGUUAUUUUGGCAGAAUAGUGCAAUUGAUUUAGAAUCAUUUUAUGUAUGUUAUACAAAUAAU